This is a long non-coding RNA of Gossypium raimondii (Peruvian cotton), 586 nucleotides long. RefSeq lists it as uncharacterized. Lineage: Eukaryota; Viridiplantae; Streptophyta; Magnoliopsida; Malvales; Malvaceae. The record is from RefSeq and is a predicted model, not a curated record. The transcript has 3 exons.
AAUCAAGUAAAAAUACGAAAAAAGGGGAAUAUAAACCCCCCAAACCAGCACACUACAACCGGCCAUAACAAAGAAGAAGAAGAAGAAGAGACUUUCUUCUUUAAAAUUUCUCACUCUCCGCUCAUUUUUACUUCAAUCUUCCGCCAUUUUUUCUUGCAAAAUCAUCCUUUAGAAACCAUAAUAGAGGCAAGAUUCUCCACCAAACUCAUCACCCUCACAUCUAGGGUUUGGGUUUUAGCAUGUGAAGGUUGAGCUUAAGAGAGAAGGAAGAGCUUUGAAGAAGUUGCUAGAUGUGGUUCUAGCAAAGAGAAAGAAAAGAUUGACGGAUUGAUGGCCUUAGAGAAGCCUUCAUCCAUUUUUGUUGCUUUUGGGAAAGAUUGUUGAUUUGAGGAGACUUGAAGCCUAGCUCAAUCUGAGACACCACACUAUCAACGAGACCUACAAGAGUAUGAAAGUGAUGUAGUUUUAGUUGUGGCAUGUACUAGGUGUCUACGUAAGUAAAUAUGUUAAUUUCAUAUUAUUUGUUCUUUGUGUUGAAUGUUGUUUAAAUUUGAGCUUGCAAGUUACACUUGUUAUUUCAUCAUCA